CUGUAACCCCUUUGGUCGAUCAAAAAGAAUCCCUUUUUAUAGGAAUCUGAUCAGAUCAGACAUCCUAAAAUAGGACUCUCUUAGGUCCACCCCAAUCCGAUUUCUCCCUUAUUUUGUCACACAAAAUCAAUGAGAAAUUCAGAUUGAUGUGGAGAUAGGAUAAAGUUGUUGUCACCUCAUUCCAAUCCACCUUUGAAUCGAAUUCAAACGGUUUUAAAUUCGAAGCUGAAUUCAAAUCUGAAUUGGAAUUCAAAGGAGAUCAAAUCUCUUAUCCUCAUCCACU
This 283-nucleotide long non-coding RNA is filed under the name Elaeis guineensis (African oil palm). RNAcentral's name for it is "long non-coding RNA (EGUI_LNC057380)". The record is from RNAcentral. Lineage: Eukaryota; Viridiplantae; Streptophyta; Magnoliopsida; Arecales; Arecaceae.